AGUGAACGCUGGCGGUAGGCCUAACACAUGCAAGUCGAACGGCAGCACAGUAAGAGCUUGCUCUUACGGGUGGCGAGUGGCGGACGGGUGAGGAAUACAUCGGAAUCUACUUUUUCGUGGGGGGUAACGUAGGGAAACUUACGCUAAUACCGCAUACGACCUACGGGUGAAAGCAGGGGAUCUUCGGACCUUGCGCGAUUGAAUGAGCCGAUGUCGGAUUAGCUAGUUGGCGGGGUAAAGGCCCACCAAGGCGACGAUCCGUAGCUGGUCUGAGAGGAUGAUCAGCCACACCGGAACUGAGACACGGUCCAGACUCCUACGGGAGGCAGCAGUGGGGAAUAUUGGACAAUGGGCGCAAGCCUGAUCCAGCCAUACCGCGUGGGUGAAGAAGGCCUUCGGGUUGUAAAGCCCUUUUGUUGGGAAAGAAAAGCAGCAGGUUAAUACCCCGCUGUUCUGACGGUACCCAAAGAAUAAGCACCGGCUAACUUCGUG
This 492-nucleotide ribosomal RNA is filed under the name uncultured bacterium. RNAcentral's name for it is "partial 16S ribosomal RNA". It matches the Rfam family "Bacterial small subunit ribosomal RNA", at positions 29 to 507 of the family's 1533-position model. The record is from RNAcentral.